RNAcentral lists this ribosomal RNA (547 nucleotides) under bacterium 2c100109. RNAcentral describes it as "bacterial SSU rRNA". It matches the Rfam family "Bacterial small subunit ribosomal RNA", at positions 325 to 882 of the family's 1533-position model. The record is from RNAcentral.
CACGGCCCAGACUCCUACGGGAGGCAGCAGUGGGGAAUAUUGCGCAAUGGACGAAAGUCUGACGCAGCAACGCCGCGUGAGGGAUGACGGCCUUCGGGUUGUAAACCUCUUUCAGCAGGGACGAAGCGAGAGUGACGGUACCUGCAGAAGAAGGACCGGCCAACUACGUGCCAGCAGCCGCGGUAAUACGUAGGGUCCGAGCGUUGUCCGGAAUUAUUGGGCGUAAAGGGCUCGUAGGCGGUUCGUCACGUCGGGAGUGAAAACUCGGGGCUUAACCCCGAGCCUGCUUCCGAUACGGGCAGACUAGAGGUAGGCAGGGGAGAGCGGAACUCCUGGUGUAGCGGUGGAAUGCGCAGAUAUCAGGAAGAACACCGGUGGCGAAGGCGGCUCUCUGGGCCUUACCUGACGCUGAGGAGCGAAAGCGUGGGUAGCGAACAGGAUUAGAUACCCUGGUAGUCCACGCCGUAAACGUUGGGCGCUAGGUGUGGGGGACAUUCCACGUUCUCCGUGCCGCAGCUAACGCAUUAAGCGCCCCGCCUGGGGAGUA